RNAcentral lists this unclassified non-coding RNA (330 nucleotides) under Hevea brasiliensis (rubber tree). The record is from RNAcentral. Lineage: Eukaryota; Viridiplantae; Streptophyta; Magnoliopsida; Malpighiales; Euphorbiaceae.
GGGGGCAGUAGGUAUUGAUCUAAGCGGCUAAGAGGAUCGAAGAACAUCCCGCUCGUCAGAGGAAAAUUCUAUGUUAAAAGGCUAGCUUUGCUUUCUCAGGGCAGUAAAGAUAGAAUCAAUUCGAAUCAGAAGCAUCUCGGGAGUCAAUAGACUGUUUUCGACGUGAACGGUUGUAGAUCGCUAGGCCCCUUAUUCAAAAGGAAUUGAUAGAGUCAGAUUCAUAUGAAAGGCUAGGCACCUUCCCGCAUUCGCACCUUUAUUAAAAUAUUUAGCCCGGUCAGCAUGUACAGAUUGACGCGAAUCGAGACUCCGAUAGAACUGCUUAUCCCC